RNAcentral lists this ribosomal RNA (180 nucleotides) under Escherichia coli. Its description in RNAcentral is "partial 16S ribosomal RNA". It matches the Rfam family "Bacterial small subunit ribosomal RNA", at positions 1364 to 1533 of the family's 1533-position model. The record is from RNAcentral. RNAcentral also lists the same sequence under 4 other names. Lineage: Bacteria; Pseudomonadati; Pseudomonadota; Gammaproteobacteria; Enterobacterales; Enterobacteriaceae.
GAAUACGUUCCCGGGCCUUGUACACACCGCCCGUCACACCAUGGGAGUGGGUUGCAAAAGAAGUAGGUAGCUUAACCUUCGGGAGGGCGCUUACCACUUUGUGAUUCAUGACUGGGGUGAAGUCGUAACAAGGUAACCGUAGGGGAACCUGCGGUUGGAUCACCUCCUUACCUUAAAGAA